CCCAACUGCAGGGCUGCCAUGGUAAAUUUUUCCUGUGAGCAGUUCAUCAGUUUGGC
RNAcentral lists this microRNA precursor (56 nucleotides) under Oreochromis niloticus (Nile tilapia). RNAcentral describes it as "microRNA oni-mir-10645 precursor". The record is from miRBase by way of RNAcentral. Lineage: Eukaryota; Metazoa; Chordata; Actinopteri; Cichliformes; Cichlidae.